GUGUCAGCCGCCGCGGUAAUACGAACUGUGCGAACGUUAUUCGGAAUCACUGGGCUUACAGGGUGCGUAGGCGGCCGUUCAGGUCAGGUGUGAAAUCCCCCGGCCCAACCGGGGAAUGGCGCUUGAAACCGUUCGGCUUGAGUGACCUAGAGGUGCAUGGAACUUCCAGUGGAGCGGUGAAAUGUGUUGAUAUUGGAAGGAACACCAGAGGCGAAAGCGAUGCACUGGGGGUUAACUGACGCUGAGGCACGAAAGCCAGGGGAGCAAACGGGAUUAGAUACCCUAGUAGUCC
This 292-nucleotide ribosomal RNA is filed under the name uncultured bacterium. Its description in RNAcentral is "partial 16S ribosomal RNA". It matches the Rfam family "Bacterial small subunit ribosomal RNA", at positions 505 to 796 of the family's 1533-position model. The record is from RNAcentral.